RNAcentral lists this long non-coding RNA (967 nucleotides) under Apteryx rowi (Okarito brown kiwi). RNAcentral describes it as "lncRNA (ENSARWG00000007636.1)". Lineage: Eukaryota; Metazoa; Chordata; Aves; Apterygiformes; Apterygidae. The record is from RNAcentral.
GAUGAUUGUCAUUUAUUCACUUAAACAGUACACAUAAACACUUAACAGUAUUGCAGAAUAAACACUUAACAGUAUUGCAGAAUAUUUUUAAGAAAGUUAUGAAUUCUGUUAAAAUAUUGUAACAAACUUUUAAAGCAAUAUUUAUUCCUGUAUUCUCAGCAUUUUUUAGAAAUUCGAGUGCACUUUAAAAGUUUCCAAAUGCUAAUUUUUUUUAAAGAACCUUAGAGUAAUUGUAAGAAGUAUCAUUAUCCCCAUUUGAUAAAUGAGGAAACUGAAACACAGAACAGUUAAGUAACUUUCUCAGGGUUGUAGGAUAAUUCUUUGCUAAGCUAGGGAUAGAUUAUUUCUUGGCAUUAAGUGUUCUACGCAUUAUUCCGCUGCUUCUCUGUGUUAAAGAAUGCUGCAGUACUUCUAUGAUACAAUUUAAAAAUGAAACCAAACUACUUGUCUUAUGUUUACAGUUUUCUUGGGGAGGGGGGACCUCUUUGGUUGAUAUUCAUUUGCUGUCCUGACCUUUUGUAAAAAUUGAGAUUUUAAACACACAUACAAAAGAGAGGAAGACUGACUACCAUCCUUGACUUGCCUGGGAUUUCAGUAAAAAACAGAGGGCAGAAUAUGUCUCAAAAUAUUGAGCUGAAAUUCUUAUAAAUGUACUUCAGCCUUCCAAAUCAUGUUUCCUGUAUAUUGGACCAGAACAGAAGGAGCUUUUACCUUAGAGUGGAGUGUUGAUGGUACACUUUGUGGUCUGGCUGGCACCAGUGAAGACUACGGUUAAUCCAGUUUUUGUUUAGAGAAACCACUGCAGAAAAGGAUACCUUCUUCUUUCACACUCCUCCAAGCUAUGGGAACUAGAGGGCUUGACGCAUCCUUUACAUCCUGCAUUUACUCUGACCACAGUCCCUCCCUGUUCUCACAAGUGAAGCUCAGCCCUGCUUCCCUUCCUGUUGAUUCCCAGUCAGCUACAUGA